This is an RNA transcript of Herpailurus yagouaroundi (jaguarundi), 3124 nucleotides long. It is a transcript of the gene named 2-hydroxyacyl-CoA lyase 1, with no coding region annotated. The transcript has 19 exons. The record is from RefSeq and is a predicted model, not a curated record. NCBI's taxonomy places the organism in Eukaryota, Metazoa, Chordata, Mammalia, Carnivora, Felidae.
GGAGGAGUGUGUUUACAUUCUUAACUCACGCUGCGAGCGGACGGAUUUAAGCCCCGCCUUUUCCUUCCCGCUUUUCAAAUUGGUUGGUUGCCUUCCUCUUUGUCAGUCAGAGGAGCGGUUUCCACAAUUGGUGAGCGGCUGUCCCCCCGACUUUAUUUUGCUGGGCGUCUACGUGUCAGCUUGAUUGCGAGAGUAUCUCGAAGUUUUAGGUGGAAGAUGUUGGAGACUAACAGAGCCGCAGGUAGCGACGGAGACGAGGAGCAGGUUUCUGGUGCUGAAGUCAUCGCCCAGGCCCUGAAAACGCAAGAUGUGGAGUACAUGUUUGGCAUCGUAGGCAUCCCAGUGACCGAAAUCGCCGUUGCGGCCCAGAAGAUGGGCAUCAGAUAUGUUGGGAUGAGGAAUGAGCAAGCGGCUUGUUAUGCUGCCUCUGCGAUUGGAUAUCUGACAGGCAGGCCUGGAGUAUGCCUUGUUGUUUCUGGCCCAGGUCUCAUCCAUGCUUUGGGUGGUAUGGCAAAUGCAAACAUGAACUGUUGGCCCUUGAUUGUGAUUGGUGGUUCUUCUGAAAGAAGUCAGGAAACUAUGGGAGCCUUCCAGGAGUUUCCUCAGGUUGAAGCUUGUAGAUUAUAUAGCAAGUUCUCUGCCCGGCCAAGCAGCAUAGAGACUAUUCCCUCUAUUAUCGAGAAGGCAGUGAGAAGCAGCAUUUAUGGUCGUCCAGGUGCUUGUUAUAUUGACAUACCUGCAGAUUUUGUGAACUUGCAGGUGAAUGUGAAUUCUGUAAGGUACACGGAGUGUUGCAUGCCACCUCCUGUUAGUAUGGCAGAGACCUCCGCUAUAUGUAUGGCAGCAACUGUUAUUAGAAAUGCCAAGAAGCCCCUUCUUAUCAUCGGGAAAGGUGCUGCUUAUGCCCAUGCAGAGGAGGGUAUCAGGAAAUUGGUGGAGCGGUGUAAAUUGCCGUUUUUGCCCACCCCCAUGGGAAAGGGUGUUAUCCCUGAUAACCAUCCGAACUGUGUGGCUGCUGCCAGAUCCAGGGCUUUGCAAUUUGCUGAUGUAAUUGUGUUAUUUGGUGCCCGAUUAAAUUGGAUUUUGCAUUUUGGACUGCCUCCAAGAUACCAGCCAGAUGUGAAGUUUAUCCAGGUUGAUAUCUGUGCAGAAGAAUUGGGGAAUAAUGUAAAGCCUGCUGUGACUUUGCUAGGAGACAUAAAUGCUGUCACUAAACAGCUUUUAGAACAAUUUGAUAAAACGCCAUGGCAGUAUCCUCCAGAGAGCAGCUGGUGGAAAACUCUGAGAGAAAAAAUGAAGAGCAAUGAAGCCACAUCCAAGGAAUUAGCUUCCCAAAAAUCUCUGCCUAUGAAUUAUUACACAGUAUUCUAUCAUGUUCAAGAACAGCUACCCAGAGACUGUUUUGUAGUAAGUGAAGGAGCAAAUACUAUGGAUAUUGGACGCACUGUGCUUCAGAACUACCUCCCUCGUCACAGGCUUGAUGCUGGUACUUUUGGAACGAUGGGAGUUGGUUUGGGCUUUGCCAUUGCAGCCGCUAUACUGGCUAAAGCUAGAAACACAGGUCAGCGGGUCAUCUGUGUGGAAGGAGACAGUGCAUUUGGGUUUUCUGGCAUGGAAGUGGAAACCAUCUGUAGGUACAACUUGCCCAUCAUUCUUUUGGUGGUGAAUAAUAAUGGAAUUUACCAAGGUUUUGAUGUGGAUAGUUGGAAGGAAAUGUUAAAAUUUGGAGAUGCUACUGCAGUGGCCCCUCCCGUCUGUCUUUUGCCAAACUCACAUUACGAGCAGGUUAUGACUGCGUUUGGAGGCAAAGGGUAUUUCGUACAAACACCGGAAGAGCUCCAAAAAUCACUGAGGGAGAGUUUGGCAGACACAACUGCACCUUCUCUUAUCAAUAUCAUGAUUGAGCCACAAGCCACGCGGAAAGCCCAGGAUUUUCACUGGCUGACACGCUCUAAGAUAUAAAGAUGUCCAGGAAUGGUCGUGAGGAGUUUUCUUUCCUGAGCAGCAAAAGAUGACAAGAGAAUCUCCCUACAAGGAGUCACUGAGGCUGCAGGGCUUGAAUGUCUUCCCCAAAGGAUGUGAAAUCGGAAAAGAAUCCCUACCCUUUUUAAGUUGGCACUGGUGUUCCAGGAUGCCUGGAGUAAAAGCUUUGCAGGUUGGUGGGACUCAGCUGAUUCUCCUAACCUCGCUUGGGGCCUCUCUCACAGCGGCCAUCAGAUGGCAGCUGGAACUGGGCCCGCUGGAGGCUCCAUUGGCCUGGAAGUCCUGAGUUGCCUUCUUUACUCUGAGAAAGUAAAAAUCAGCUCAGACCAUGAAUGUAAACAUCUGCCUAGCCAUUCAUCAGGCUGGAAUCAGAGACAUGGAUAAUGUCAGACGCACAGUUAACAGAAGGAAAUAUUUUAGCCAAGGACACACUGCAGCUGCAAGUGCCCUAACAUCCAUCUUUCUCGUUCAUGAGAAACUUUGCUUUCUAAAAUCAUAGAUUAUCAGGAAUUUUUAUCAGUAAGCGUGACAUGCCCAAACAGCCUUGAUUUGCGAUGCACAUGCAGAGUUUCUGGACACAGAUUUCUCCAUCUGUUAUAACUUGAUAGCAUUCUGGGAAACAGGACCUCGGGGUCCGCUUCACAGUCCAGAUCUGACAUGGAAUCCUUUACACGGAGCCUGCUUUGCUUUGAGCCAAUUGAACCUUUGAUUUAAUACUGAAAUCAUUUAUUUGUGUAUUCUUAAAUGGUGAAUUUCGUGGUAUGUGAAUUUAUGAUCUAUGAAAGAUGGCAUCCCAAUUUUUUUAAAUGAUAGCCAUCGAAAGAAUUAGAAUGUUAUGUGUGGCUUUGAAUCCAUUGGCACUUCCUAGGCCAGCCAGGAUUAUUGUCAUAAUCCCAUUGCCCGGCUCCUAGCAGACCUCCAUUGUUCCAAUUUGUAACUGGGUUGGAAUACUGACACUCUCUCAUGCACCCCCAUCUUUUGUCCUCCGUCUGCACCCCACUCAUCCUCCUUGAGCCCUCUCAUCCCUCCUCAUAUAAUGCAUACGUAUUCUGCAAAUGCUUUGCAUGAAAAUUGUUGGCUUUUAAUGUCACCUUACACUGAGUUUCCUCAAUGACCUCAAUAAAAUGAUUUCUUCAAUUCA